UUGAAAGUCCAUAAGGAAAUUCUCCAAUGUGAACCCAUGUCGCCCUUCGGGGCUUUAUAAACUCGUUUUGUUGUGAUUGAAUGUCUUAUGUUAUUCGUAACAAAAUA
This 107-nucleotide unclassified non-coding RNA is filed under the name uncultured fungus. Its description in RNAcentral is "sequence contains ITS1". Lineage: Eukaryota; Fungi. The record is from RNAcentral.